Molecule: transfer RNA, 72 nt
Filed under: Thiovulum sp. ES
Lineage: Bacteria; Pseudomonadati; Campylobacterota; Epsilonproteobacteria; Campylobacterales; Sulfurimonadaceae
Rfam family: tRNA
About the family: Transfer RNA (tRNA) molecules are approximately 80 nucleotides in length.
Source: Rfam by way of RNAcentral
GGUCGCAUAACUCAGUGGUAGAGUGCUACCUUGACAUGGUAGUGGUCACAAGUUCAAAUCUUGUUGCGACCA